UACGGGAGGCAGCAGUGAGGAAUAUUGGACAAUGGAGGCAACUCUGGUCCAGCCAUGCCGCGUGUAGGAAGACUGCCCUAUGGGUUGUAAACUACUUUUAUAUGGGAAGAAUAAGGUCUACGUGUAGACUGAUGACGGUACCAUAAGAAUAAGCACCGGCUAACUCCGUGCCAGCAGCCGCGGUAAU
Molecule: ribosomal RNA, 187 nt
Filed under: uncultured bacterium
Lineage: Bacteria
Description: partial 16S ribosomal RNA
Rfam family: Bacterial small subunit ribosomal RNA
Source: RNAcentral